GGGGCUAUAGCUCAGCUGGCUAGAGUACUUGAAUGGCAUUCAAGGGGUCGUGGGUUCGAAUCCCAUUAGCUCCACCA
Molecule: transfer RNA, 77 nt
Filed under: Eubacteriales bacterium OttesenSCG-928-M02
Lineage: Bacteria; Bacillati; Bacillota; Clostridia; Eubacteriales
Description: tRNA-Ala
Rfam family: tRNA
About the family: Transfer RNA (tRNA) molecules are approximately 80 nucleotides in length. Their secondary structure includes four short double-helical elements and three loops (D, anti-codon, and T loops).
Source: RNAcentral